UCCAUCUCCUCGUUCUCUCAUCGAACGGGCAGCAGCCUCCGCCGCCUUCCCGAUUCUCACCAUCAACGAUCCCGUCUCCCUCUCUAUUCUCACGGCGAACGGCAAAAAUUGCCGCCCCCUUCUCCUUCGAUCCGGACAGCAGCAGCCCUUCAGCCCCUGUCGCCGCUCUCCCUGCUUCAACCCCUCCUAGCCCCGACUGAACUCACGCCACACUAACACGCACAACAAGAAUCAAACGCAGCAGGAUCGAAGCUGUAAAGACUGAAGUUUUAUCAAAAUUAAAGGGUUCGUUCUUCUCUGUGUUUCUUCAAUUCCUUCACAAAAGUCCAGCUCAAAGUAUAAAUGUAUUCUCUCUGCUUAUAUAAAGUAUAGAUGUGAAUUGAAGAGUAUAUAUAUACACAUCAAUUAUGAAGUCCUUGUUUCGGGUAUGAUUUCUGUAUAAAUGUCGAGGCACAAGUUUGAUGAUAUCGUCUGUGAUGAUUUUCGUUGGUUUUGUGUGUCAUUAAUAUUAAUCAAAUAACCAAGCAGUAACAGAUCAAAGAGUAGCAAAAGGAGUAGAUUAUGUAAAGCUAUGAAGUUAAAGGUGAAACCUUGGUGUGGUUUUGUUUGAGUUUUCAGCAAAAAUGUAUGAAUUAUGCUUAAGGUCUGAUUUGAUGAGAAAGACAAAAGGAAAGUGAGUAAUGGAGCCUGAACCUUUCUUUUUCUUCUAUUUCUUGAGUAAGUCGUACUUUGUUUGUUGCCUUGUGGAAGAUAUUGGAGUGAGAUAUGGAGAAAAAUGACCCGAAUGAUCGGGAGGAAAUGAGGAUGAUUGGUGAUGGGUGAUUGGUGUAAAGGGUGUUUCUGCAGUAAAGAAUGCAGAAUGAAAUGGUGAUUGGGGUAAAAGAGUAGAGAAUUUAUGGAAGGUAAAAAGAAACGUGGCCUUUUGGGAGCCAUAUCUCAUAAACAAGAUUUGGAUAAUUAAACCAUCAUUUGAAUAUAACUAUGAAAAUAUCUAGAUUUCUUUCUCCUUUCCACGUGAUUCUUUUGACAAAAGGAAUUGGGCCUUUGGGCAAAUCAACAGAUGGGGCUUAGCCCACUGGCCACCGGGUCCUCACUUAAGUGAAGUGACCCGGGUUCGAUCUAGGGCUGGG
RNAcentral lists this long non-coding RNA (1130 nucleotides) under Salvia miltiorrhiza (redroot sage). Its description in RNAcentral is "long non-coding RNA (SMIL_LNC008985)". Lineage: Eukaryota; Viridiplantae; Streptophyta; Magnoliopsida; Lamiales; Lamiaceae. The record is from RNAcentral.